AUAAUAAUAAUUAUUAUUAACCUAUAUUUUUAAUAACUUAUUAUAUUUUGUAUGAAAUUAUGGUUUUAAUUGAUUUUACUGUUUUAUUCUAAUAUAACUCGUUGUUGAUGCAUCUUAUAAUAUAAUUUAAUUAAUAUAAUCUUGUGUUUCUAGUUGUAAAUAGUUAUUUGCUUGUAGAUGUCUAAUAAAUUGUUGAAAGUUUGGACUCUAGACAGUUCGGUAAAAGCAGCUGUGGUAUGCAGUAAUUUGGCUGAAUUGAAAACCAAAGGUAAUAAUCAUUGAGUAUUGUUAUUCAUAACUUUAAGCGGUCAUCUCAAAUAGAAGGUGCAAACAAUUAGGUUUCUUCUACACGAAACAAUGGGCUAUUACUGCUGUUUAUGUAGAAAAAGUAUUGAUGCUUUUACAAUUAAGAACACAUUUUCACUUGAGACGUAGCUUAGCUAAAUAUGAUAAAGUAGAACUUCAUUGUGGACAAGAUGGCUGUAUGAGAUAUUUUGAAUGCUUAAGCUCAUUAUCGACUCAUUCACGUCGAAAGCAUAAGCUUACUUCGACAGAUGCAAGCUCCAUGGAACAAAAAACAGUUAAUAAUGAACCAGAAAAUCUGUGAUGAAAUUGAAAUGAGUGAGCAAGUAGAAGAGCCUGAAAAUGAUAAAGUUACCGACUUUAAGGAACAGCUAAGACAGCUACUGUUUAAAGUUUAUGCUAAGUAUUGGUGCUUAGAUAUUAUACAGGGGGGAUUUACUGAUUUAUUAGAGGGGCUGUGUCAAAUGUUUUCUGAUAAAUUAAAGAAUGUUGCAAACAAUUUAGAUGCAGUUCAUAUAUCCACAAUCAAAACUCAACUUGAAUCAGUAAUUCAAGAAAUCGACAAUGUUAAGCCAACUUUAAAAGAAGUAGGAAACUUUGAACAGCAAUUGAAACACUUUAAAAAUCAUAUGAAAUUUGUUAAGAUGGUUGGACGUCCAAUAUCUGUUCGUUAUGAAUCCCGUUUGGAUAAGGAAACUGGCAAAAUAUGUCAAUAUCCUAUUCCUAAUACAUACCAGUAUAUACCAAUUCAUCAGCCAAUUAGAUUUGUUUAUAGCUAUAUGUAUGAGAUUCUAAAAAAACAACAAAGGAACACAAAUAAUUUAUUAAGUGACUUUAGCGAUGCUUCUCGUUUCAAAGAAUGUCAACUGUUUAUAGAAAAUUCGGAUGCCUUACAGUUACAUUUAUAUUUCGACGAUUUUGAAACCGUUAAUCCGUUAGGCUUGAAAACAAAAAUUCACAAACUAGGUGCAGUCUAUAUGAUGAUACGGAACUUGCCAUCCUAUUUAAACUUCCGCCUCAUGCAUUUAUCUGGUAUGUCUUUUUUAUACAGAAGAUACAAAAAUUACGCGUGGAUAUGAACCAGUUCUUGAAGAAAUGAUUAAGGAUAUUAAAACAUUAGAAAUAAAGUAUAUUGAAAUUGUGCUCGGUAAAGCAUGUCAGACAGUUAAGGGCACUGUUGUUUUGUUUUCGGCUGACAAUUUAGGUGCUCAUGGAAUGUUAGGUUUCCAAGAGAGUUUUACUUUUGGUUGUAUAUGUCGAUUGUGUUACGCAACUGUUGAAAGCAUUCAAGAUCACCACCGAGCCAGAGAUUUUGCACCAAGAACUGCUGAACAGCAUGAAAAAGACGUGCAAGACUGCAACACAAGAAAUACUGGUGUAAAGCGACAAUCACCCUUUAAUGAUUUGCAUUAUUUUAAAGUUACUGACAACUAUUGUGUGGAUGCUAUGCACGAUAUAUUUGAAGGCGUUUUUUCUAAUGUGUUAAAAUUAGUUUUAUACCAGCUUAUUAUUGUCAAUAAAAUUUUUGCAUGUAUUCAGCUCAAUUCUCGACUGAAAGCAUUUCGUUAUGCCGAACAUGAGAAGAGAGAUAAGCCGUCUUGUAUAACUGUAGAAUAAUUGAAGUCAGGUGAUAAUCUUUUGGGUCAGCGUGCUGCUCAAUAUCUGUGUUUAAGUAGACUUAUUGGUUUAAUACUUGAAGAUCUUAUAGACUGUGAAAAUACUUAUUGGCGGUUGGUCACUCUUUUAAUGGAGAUUAUAGACUUUAUUUUGUGUCCAAAGAUAUUGCAUGGCAUGAUUUCGUAUUUAGAUUAACUUAUAUUUGAUCACCACACAAUGUACAGGGAGUUAUUUCCAACAAAACGAUUGACACCUAAAUUUCAUAAUUUAGUUCAUUAUCCUGCUUGUCUUCAAAAGUCUGGUCCGGGAUGUCGAUAUUGGUGUAUGUUUAUGUUUGUAGACAUACAAUGAUUAAUGGUACGGAUUAUUUCAGUGGAGAUGUUUUAGUUGUUGGUAGACAGAUGGAUGAGUGUCUCAAAUUUGUACUCAUUGAUGAGUUUAUUUUAACUGAUGGUGGCAUUUAUUUUGUUUGCCAAGAACUGCACACUUAUUACUAUGAUAGUCAUUAUCAUGCUUUUGCAGUUGAAGAUGAUGACUGCGGAAAAAGUGUAGUACUAGAGUAUGAUGAACUGUUAGACUAUUAUCCAUUAGCUUCGCAUACUGUUUCUGGCACGAGAUCGAAGUAUUCAUUCGUUGCUCUUCGUCAUGCAGUUGUAACUAGCAUCUCUAAAUAAGCAUUUCAUCUUCAAAUUUUAUUAUGCAUUGUUAUCGGUUUUAUAUGUUGUAUUCAUUUUUGUUUUUGUUAAUUCACUAAGAUCAGUUCAUAUUGUACGAGUUGUAUAACCUGUUGUGUAAAAUCAAACGACAAUUAUGAAUCCAAUUUCCGUAAUUUCAAUUUUGUUCAUUUCACUUUUUAUUAUUAGGCUAUGUAAAAUUUCUUUAUGUAGCUGCCCAAAAACUUGGUUUUGAUAUCGCUUCGUUCAAAAUGGAUGAUGGUACAGAUAUCGAUGAUGAUGAAAUUGUGCAAUAUUUAAAUCCCGGUGCAAUAGUCUAUGCUUUAAAUGCUGAUGAAGCUAUCAGAAGCUUGGCAACAACAUUAUCUAUAAUACCCGGCACACUAGACAACACAUUCGAACCAUUGCAGACUUCUACACCAGAAACCAGCAUGACUAGCAUAACUUCAGCUGCAGAUGGGCAUCAUAUAGAAGAUAUGGAAGAGGAACAGCCAAGCACGAGCAAGCAAGUACGUAAACAACCAAGGGACGUGCCUGUUACUGUGAUUUCAAGUAAUAACGACGUUUCAGUUAUUGUGGCAUUAAAGAAGCAUCCAAAAGAAAAGUGGAUAGUAUAAGAGGGUAACAAAGCCGUAAUGGCACGUGAAGCUCGUUUGGCAAUGGUCGAGACAGCAUGCAGUCAUCUCAUUGACUUAUUUGGAGAUUAUCCACCAACAGAAAAGAAAGUGCUGAUGGCAAAAAGCAUCAUAGAAGCUUUUCCUAACCAAAAAUCAAGUUUCGGCAAAGGAUAUGUAAGAAUGCAUUUAUUUGAAUACUGAUUAUGUAUUUAUUAGAAUACUAAUAAUUAGCUUAUAGAAUAUGUAUGUGCAUGCAUUUUAUUGUUAUGUAUUUAACCGAGUAUAUUUGAAUAUGCCAUAUUUGCUCUAAAUAACAAUUUAGUAUGAUAACCAAUUUUGUCAUCAGAAUCUGAAAAGUAAGUCAAAAUUGUUGUUUUUGUACAUUCAAUACAAAUUUAAGCAGUGAACUGUUGUUUUUUUUUAUCAAGGAACAUUAUUACUCAUCAGAUGGGACAGGUUUUAUACAAAACCGGUUUAGGCAGAUUCAACGCCAACUGCCUGAGCAGCAACGAAAAUAUCGUUAAAGAUACAAACUAUGUAUGUCAUUGUUUUCUUAUAAUUAAGUGUACGAUUGCGUUAGUGAACAAAUUAGGCUUGAGUUAUAGAUACAUGUGCAGCUGUUAAUCUAUUAAGUAAAUCUAUAGCUAAAUAUGCAGCUGUUGAUCUAUUUUAUCAGCCUGUUUUAUUCCAUUUAUUUUUAUGUACAGCAGUCAAUGAUAGUGUAGUUCAAGCAGGUGACCAAUUUAUAGAGGUGUUUGGCGAGGAUGCCGAAUUAAAAACGGUCAUGCUUCAGAAUUUGGUACCAUUAUCGGCUAACGUAGACAAAAUCUAUACGUUAAUGGCUGAAACGUGCAGUUAUCGUUAAAAGGGGGCGGAGGUUCUGCUGGACCUACAAUGACACAGAUCCUUCAGAAGUACCCUCGUUUUAUAGAUGUGUCUGGCUUAGUAAGUUUCUGUUUUCAAAAACAUUGAAAAGCAAAAGUUACCUCAUACAUAGCUUAAUUUUCGAGAUAUACACCCAAUAAAAUAAUAAAUAAACUUAAUUAUAUCCAAAAUUCUUUUCGUUUCUUUCAAAGAAUUACAUUACAUUUAUUUCAAGUAUUUUAUUAUAGCUAUGCAAAAUCCUACAUACAACUUUUAUUAUUGUUGCUUAAUAAAAACACUAAAAGAAUGCUUAGUGUUGAUAUAUAUUAAUGUUCAUUUUACUAUAUUUCUGCAUACAUAUAAGCAAAACAUUAAUAAAACUCAUUAACUGUUGGUUUCUGUAAAAUAAUCGAUCAUAUGAUUUUAAGGUACAACAAGAUUUCAAAAGUAUGGCUGCUAGUCCAAGAGAAGAUCCAGCAGCAUACUUUGAAAGCAACCUCGCUCUCAAACUGCUUCGUUUUUUGAAAGCAACCUCGCUCUCAAACUGCUUUGUUUUUUGAAAGCAACCUCGCUCUCAAAGUGCUUCGUUAUUGUGUUGGCCAAGGCAAAUCCUUGACCUAACGCAGAACUUUGAAAAUUUCACAGCAGAUGCAACGAGUCACAAUGCGAUGCUAUGUUUGCUGGACAUGCUACCUACCAUGGGAAAGCAUCAGACAUCAGUUAAAAAUGCCCGCCAAUCGAUUUCAUCGACGAGAUAAAAGUCGAUGUUAAUGAUCAUUGUAUAUUAUCGUUUGCAUGUAAUAAUAAUAAUAAUAAUAA
RNA transcript from Hydra vulgaris (swiftwater hydra), 4894 nucleotides. RefSeq lists it as uncharacterized. NCBI's taxonomy places the organism in Eukaryota, Metazoa, Cnidaria, Hydrozoa, Anthoathecata, Hydridae. The record is from RefSeq and is a predicted model, not a curated record.